GCUAAACGCGAAGAACCUUACCCACCUUUGACAUGUACGGAAUCCUUUAGAGAUAGAGGAGUGCUCGAAAGAGAGCCGUAACACAGGUGCUGCAUGGCUGUCGUCAGCUCGUGUCGUGAGAUGUUGGGUUAAGUCCCGCAACGAGCGCAACCCUUGCCAUUAGUUGCUACAUUUAGUUGAGCACUCUAAUGGGACUGCCGGUGACAAACCGGAGGAAGGUGGGGAUGACGUCAAGUCCUCAUGGCCCUUAUAGGUGGGGCUACACACGUCAUACAAUGGCUGGUACAAAGGGUUGCCAACCCGCGAGGGGGAGCUAAUCCCAUAAAGCCAGUCGUAGUCCGGAUCGCAGUCUGCAACUCGACUGCGUGAAGUCGGAAUCGCUAGUAAUCGUGGAUCAGAAUGUCACGGUGAAUACGUUCCCGGGUCUUGUACACACCG
This 438-nucleotide ribosomal RNA is filed under the name uncultured bacterium. RNAcentral describes it as "bacterial SSU rRNA". It matches the Rfam family "Bacterial small subunit ribosomal RNA", at positions 954 to 1392 of the family's 1533-position model. The record is from RNAcentral.